This 775-nucleotide ribosomal RNA is filed under the name uncultured Neocallimastigales. RNAcentral describes it as "partial large subunit ribosomal RNA". It matches the Rfam family "Eukaryotic large subunit ribosomal RNA", at positions 18 to 643 of the family's 3401-position model. The record is from RNAcentral. Lineage: Eukaryota; Fungi; Neocallimastigomycota; Neocallimastigomycetes; Neocallimastigales.
UCAGACGAUGCGUCAUGCAUAUCAAUAAGCGGAGGAAAAGAAACUAACAAGGAUUCCCCUAGUAACGGCGAGUGAAGCGGGAAGAGCUCGAAAUUUGAAAUCUUAAAGGGUUUCCCUUUACGAAUUGUAGUUUAAAGAAGUGUUUUCUGUUGAGGUUUUGGUAAAAGUUCUUUGGAAUAGGACAUCAUAGAGGGUGAGAAUCCCGUAUUUGACCUUUACUUUCAACUUUGUGAUACACUUUCAAAGAGUCGGAUUGUUUGGGAAUGCAGUCCAAAAUGGGUGGUAAAUUUCAUCUAAAGCUAAAUAUUGGCGAGAGACCGAUAGCGAACAAGUACCGUGAGGGAAAGAUGAAAAGAACUUUGAAAAGAGAGUUAAACAGUACGUGAAAUUGUCAAAAGGGAAGCGUUUGACACCAGUGUUGUUUUUCUGAAAAUCAAUUAAAGAACUGUUUAUGCUAAGCUGUUUAGACUUUAUCAGCUAUCUGUUUAGUUUUGAGCUUUUCUUUAAUGCACUUUUCAGUUAACAAGUCAACAUCAAUUUCUUUUGCUGUAAAAAAGCUUGAGGAAGGUGGCUUGAGAUUCGUCUUAAGUGUUUAUAGCCUCUUGCCUAUGCAGUCGGAGAGAUUGAGGUCUGCAGCGUAGAUCCUUCGGGGCUAAAUGCAUUUGUGCUAAGUUAUAGCAUUUUAUAGACAACUUGUUGACUAUGAUUUGUCUUGUAGCUUACUCGCUUAUGUUAUUUUACCUACGCUUAGGAUGUUGACACACGCGCGUGCUCG